AUGAUCUCCGUGAAAUCUAGGCACCAAAUGUAUCUCUCUUGGAAAUAUCAGAUUACACUCUGGGCUCUGGUGAAUGUUUUUCAUAAUGUUUUUGAAACACAAGCUCUGGGAGGUAUUGUUUACAAUCCAGGCCAAGGAAAUCACAAAGCAAGAUGAAACACAAAGCAAAUCUGAUAGGAGAUAUAGUAACAUUCACGAUAGUAGUUUUGAUAAGGAGAGAAGUCUGCAUCAUGACACUUCUAAUAUAAGCUGAAAAUGGUUGGAAAACAUUUACUAUGUGUCUCUGGCUCAAAAGUGCUAUAGGUAGUAGUGAGUGCAAGCCUGUAUAUGUGCUUUACCACUGCAGCGUUCGUGCAUCACAUCCCAGGCACCCAUCUGAGGGGAAAGUUUCUUCGUAGGAGCAGCCAUGGCUGAAAUAACAACAGCAAGGAGGAGAAACUGGCUGCUGUCCACAAGGCUUGCUGCGGCUUGCAGCUCACUGCCGGCAGCCAGCCCAACGGCAUGGGGAGCGCUGGGGACACGUGCUCCGAGCGGAGCCGACACCAGACCCCUGGCAGAGGGACGGGAAAAAUACCCGAGCUGCCCGUCCAGCUUUGCUCCCUGCUCUGGGGAUGGGGAUCAGCUAGAUAACCACGGCUCUUGCCUGCACGGUGCCCCGUGUGUGCGGCCGCCUGGACCUGUCCCCGUUGCCCCACGUGCUGGGGCAGGAGGAAGCGUGCUGCUGCCUGUCCCACAGACAGUGCCGGCAGGAAGCAGGAAGGGGAGCCAGCCGCCCCCUCGGUAUCGCUUUCCACAUCCCGCACUUCUUCACCUCUGGCCCAAAGACAGGCCCGCACUGGCAGGGCAGCGGGGUGGGAGAGCCAGUCCCACACUGCAGCAGGAGUCCUGGAAAAGAUAUACCUCUGAAUCAUCUGAAAAAUCAUCUGAAAAAGGGUGCCUGCUGAGACCCUGAGAGGCAGCACUGCCCUCCCACGUUAAGACCACUCCUCCACAUUUGAUGCAAUGAGGGUGCCACCCCCCUGUCCAAGCUGCGAGGACUGGGACCAGGCUGGAUCAGCUGCACUUGUCCUGUUGGCUUCUCAUGUCCCUGCAGUGUGUGGGAACUGUGGGCCUGCCCCAAAAUGUUUGAAGUUCGAAGUGAAGAAUUUUUGCAUACUACAGUUACUUUUAUCACUGACAAGAAAUACUUUAUAGAGGCUUUUCCUAGACUGGUGUUGGUGGUUUUUGCCCCCAGUGAACAUUUUUAGACCUAAUUCUG
Molecule: long non-coding RNA, 1258 nt
Filed under: Anser brachyrhynchus (Pink-footed goose)
Lineage: Eukaryota; Metazoa; Chordata; Aves; Anseriformes; Anatidae
Description: lncRNA (ENSABRG00000011154.1)
Source: RNAcentral